This 285-nucleotide unclassified non-coding RNA is filed under the name plant metagenome. RNAcentral's name for it is "partial contains small subunit ribosomal RNA, internal transcribed spacer 1, and 5.8S ribosomal RNA". The stretch from base 1 to 54 matches the Rfam family "Eukaryotic small subunit ribosomal RNA", at positions 1778 to 1831 of the family's 1831-position model. The record is from RNAcentral.
GGAAGUAAAAGUCGUAACAAGGUUUCCGUAGGUGAACCUGCGGAAGGAUCAUUAUUGUAUAACCGAGGUGCGAGGGCUGUCGCUGACCCGAAAGGUCGUGCACGCCCGAGUGCCCUCACACACAUCCAUCUCACCCCUAUGUGCACCACCGCGAGGGUCCCCCUUUGGCUUGUUCGGAGGGGGGCUUACGUUUUCACACAAACUUUGUAUGCAGUGUAGAAUGUAUUUUUUGUUUUUGCGAUCACGCAAUCAAUACAACUUUCAACAACGGAUCUCUUGGCUCUC